RNAcentral lists this long non-coding RNA (2062 nucleotides) under Salmo salar (Atlantic salmon). RNAcentral describes it as "lncRNA (ENSSSAG00000089884.1)". Lineage: Eukaryota; Metazoa; Chordata; Actinopteri; Salmoniformes; Salmonidae. The record is from RNAcentral.
CAAAACCGCUAGGCUGCCACAGAGAGGCCCUGCUUUCCAUCAGAAUAUUACCCCUUCGUUUCCCCCUUCUUUAAACGCUAAACGGAGAGAACAGGCUUGGGCUGGGAUAAUGGGAUCUUUUCUCUCUCUCUGCCGCCGGGGGUGAAAACGGCAACAAUGGAGGCAAAAUGAUUUAAAGGGAGCUUUUUCACCUGCUCUCCUUCUUCUCCCAAGCUAUCUGUGUCUUUCAGAGGAUGCUAAUGCCAGCUAAUUUACCAAAAGCACCAAACCAGUGUCUACUUGUGGUUCGAGCAUUGGGCCAGUAACCGGAAGGAUGCUGGAUCGAAUCCCCGAGCUGACAAGGCCCAGGCAUGGAUCAAAGCUGGCGAGACGUUCAAUGAGCCAUCAUCGCAGACGAAUCAACCGUGGCCCUUGAGCAAUUAGCUCAAAAUUGCUACAGAAAAAAGUAAGAUCAAGCAAGCCAAGUCUCAAGCAUCCCUUCAAACUCCAUGUGUGGGGGGCAAUUUCUCGCCAGGGACCAGGCCCAUUUUUUAUGUUUGAUGGUAUCACGGCUCAAGAUUUCUUUGAGGAAGAAAUCUUCAAUAGGUAUACUUAACCCUAUGUCAGAGAGGUGUUUCUGGGACCACAUCGUUUCUUUCAAGACAAUGACCCAAACCAAAUUGAGGGACAACACUGGGCCAAUUGUGUGCCACCAUAUGGGUCUCUCAAUCACAGUUGGAUGAGAUACAGUCUGGAUUCAAACCAGGGACUCUAGUGAUGCCUCUUGCACUGAGAUGCAAUGUCUUAGACCACUGCGCCACUCGGGAGCCAUGACCAAUAGGACCAAUAUAUAUUCUCCAGCUAAUAGCCCAUCCUAGAAACAUGCUCGUGCUAUGCUUGUGAAAAACAUGGUUAAUAAUAAUAAUACUUUUUCCCCCUUCCACUUGUUAAAGUUUCCAAUUGAUAAAGUUUUUUUUAAUCAAUUAGUAUAUUUGAGUUUAACCACAAUAUUUGUUGUAUUAUUUGUUCUGUCUUUUCUGGUGGAUUAAACCAACUUUCUAUGGCUUGUUUUAAAAAAUAACAAUAUUUCGGAGAAUAUUUUAUUUUCAAAAAACCUAAAGUGAGCGAGAAAAAUGCCAUUCUUGAACAUGGGGUGAGACAUUGUUACUAAUUUGUAAAAAAAAGCCAGUUUGUUAUUUAGAAUGAUUUUUUUUCUGUUUAUAUUUUAUUUAUUUAUUCAUUUUUUACCCCUUUUUCUCCCCAAUUUCGUGGUAUCCAAUUGGUAGUUACAGUCCUGUCCCAUCGCUGCAACUCUCGUACGGACAUGGGAGAGGCGAAGGUCGAGAGCCGUGCGUCCUCUGAAACACAACCCAGCCAAGCCACUCUGCUUCUUGGCAACUGUAUCAGCGUGCAUUGCACCCAGCCCGCCACAGGAGUCACUAGUGCGUGAUGGGACAGGAACAUCCCUGCUGGCAAAAACGUUCCAUAACCCGGACGACGCUUGGCCAAUUGUGCGUAGUCCCAUGGGUCUCCCGGGUGCGACAGAGCCUGGACUCAAACCAGGAUCUCUAGUGACACAUCUAGCACUGUGAUGCAGUGUUUAUUUCUGUUUUUAAAGGGAGAGAAACCAAAAGCCUACUGUUGUCUCAUGGGUCUCAGCUGGCACGGGUAUCAAACCAGCAUCUGUAGCAACUCAGUUUGCACUGCGUUUGCACUGAGAUGCAGUGCCUUAGACCGCUGCGCCACAUGGGCGCUGUACAAUGUGACAGGUUGGGAGUAGGCUACAGUACUACAGUAAGAGAAAAAAUCAUCCUAACAUUUCCACUCCCUAAUUGUAGUCUAAGUUUCUCUUAGAAUAAAAACCUUAGUGUAACAACAGUUUUAGUAAGUAAUACUGAUGAGUAGUAUCAAAAAAAGAAGUGUAUUUUUUUCAGGUGCGCGUGCAGGACAUAGGAAUAGCAAUUCUUACACUAUUGUUCUAAAUUCAGUCACCUUCUUCAUCCUCAUCAUUCAGUUCAUUAAAAUUCAAUAAAAAUGUCAUAAUGAAAUCAUAUCACUGUGGAGUAAGCAACUUUUACCAAAC